AUUGGUGCCACUGAAGCUUGGGCCCGAUUGAACAUAGCCCUUUCCUAGAAUGAUAGAGAUAUGAGAAGCCUCUCUUCCUUUUCAAUCAAGCUACCAAAAUCCAAAUAUUACUAGUUGAAUAAAAUAUGUGUUCACUAUGUAUCUCUUCAUCCAUAUUUCCAAGUAAAAUUAGAAAUCCCACAAUCUAAUUUUACUUUUUUGUAACUUUUUGUUUCAUCAUGUUGGUUUUUCCAAGCAUUUUGUUUCAUAUAAUGACUGACAAACCCUAACUUUCAUUAUGUUGGUUUUUUCUAUCUUCCAAGUUCCAAUCCUUUCAAAAUCUUGGGAAAAAAGAACUUGGGAUCCCAUAGAUUAUUUAUCCCCUCUUUCUUGGCUUUUGUUUUUGGUAAAGAGGUAACUCCUUUCCUAUCCAACCAGUUUCAUGGUUGCUUUUUUCUCCUUUACCAAGCAUAGUGUGUUUAGGGUUUCAAUGAUCUUUCUGCAUGAACUUAAUGAAAAGUCACGAUUCACGUGAGUAAUGGUCCUAAUCGAAUUCCUGUUUGGAGCUCUGUUGGUGUCAGGGGGUGUUUAUGGAACAAAGCUUUACAAGUUUCUUUAUGUCAAGUCGAAAAAGCCCAAUUAAAUGCAAAUGGCUGUCAAGCCAUGCACCGAAUGGAUUGAUUGAUAUGGGCCGUGGUUGGUAGUCGGUAUAAAUAAGCCUCUUCUCCAUCACAUCCUGCUCCCAUUUAAGGUGGCCUUAAAUAGACUUCAAUGACACGAGAACUACCAUGCGUUUGAAAGCAGAUGGUGUCUCACUCCAAUAUAAAAUUACUACUAAAUUUUCAAGGUACAUGUUGCCAACUUUUCCCAAUAUAACAUGUCUGAUUGUCUGAUAAUAAGUAAAAAUAUGGGUGCAUCUUAAUCGUCCUUUUAUUAAAAAAGGUGAAUUCUUUAAUUUAAAUUGUUGAAAAUUUCGUAAGAACACAUUUCUUAUAAUAAUUAAAAAAAGAACCAUCAUCCAUUGUUUUUAUGGGGAUUCUCUAGUAAUAAAGAAGAACAAUUCAUGAUUGAGAUCUUAAAAUUGUUACCACUAAAAAAAAACAUUAUGUGAUAGAUUGCUUUCAUCCCUAGGACAAGAAAAAAUGCCAAGAGUGAAAUGUGGGAUAUGCAUAUGGGCGUGAAGCACAAUCAAUGCAAAAAACGACACAAAGCUCAAGUUGAAAUGAAGACAGCAGACACCAACUUCAAUACUCUUUUUCUCAUCACAAUUUUCGUGUAAAUUAAAUUUUUCUCGGAAAAUGAGGGUCUCCUUGUUGCUUA
This 1299-nucleotide long non-coding RNA is filed under the name Prunus dulcis (almond). The record is from RNAcentral. Lineage: Eukaryota; Viridiplantae; Streptophyta; Magnoliopsida; Rosales; Rosaceae.